GGAUGUGAGGGCGAUCUGGCUGCCACAUCUGUCACCCCACUGAUCUCCAGGGUUGAUUCCGCUGAUCUGGCUGGCUAGGCGGGUGUCCCCUUCCUCCCCCACUGUUCCAUGUGUGUCCCUCCUGAAGCUGCCCGCUGGGUUGAAGAGGACAGUCUUUCCUGAACAGAGACAAACUGAACCCGCU
RNAcentral lists this small nuclear RNA (184 nucleotides) under Erinaceus europaeus (western European hedgehog). RNAcentral's name for it is "7SK RNA". It matches the Rfam family "7SK RNA". From Rfam's summary of the family: 7SK was discovered as an abundant small nuclear RNA in the mid-70s but a possible function has only recently been suggested. Lineage: Eukaryota; Metazoa; Chordata; Mammalia; Eulipotyphla; Erinaceidae. The record is from Rfam by way of RNAcentral.